Molecule: ribosomal RNA, 274 nt
Filed under: uncultured bacterium
Lineage: Bacteria
Description: partial 16S ribosomal RNA
Rfam family: Bacterial small subunit ribosomal RNA
Source: RNAcentral
AUACGGAGGGUGCAAGCGUUGUUCGGAAUCACUGGGCGUAAAGGGCGCGCAUGCGGUUUGGUAAGUCAGAUGUGAAAGCCCACGGCUCAACCGUGGAAGUGCAUUUGAAACUGUCAGACUUGAGUACUAGAGGGGAAAGUGGAAUUCCCGGUGUAGAGGUGAAAUUCGUAGAUAUCGGGAGGAAUACCGGUGGCGAAGGCGACUUUCUGGCUAGAUACUGACGCUGAGGCGCGAAAGCGUGGGGAGCAAACAGGAUUAGAAACCCUAGUAGUCC